AUACGGAGGAUCCGAGCGUUAUCCGGAUUUAUUGGGUUUAAAGGGUGCGCAGGCGGGAGAUUAAGUCGGCGGUGAAAUUUUGCAGCUCAACUGUAAAAGUGUCUUCGAAACUGGGUUCCUUGAGGGUUGAUGAAGUAAGCGGAAUUUGUGGUGUAGCGGUGAAAUGCAUAGAUAUAACGAGGAACUCCGAUUGCGCAGGCAGCUUACUAAACUACUACUGACGCUCAGGCACGAAGGCGUGGGGAUCAAACAGGAUUAGAUACCCUGGUAGUCCACGCAGUAAACGAUGAUUACUAGCUGUUUGCGAUACAAUGUAAGCGGCUGAGCGAAAGCGUUAAGUAAUCCACCUGGGGAGUACGUUCGCAAGAAUGAAACUCAAAGGAAUUGACGGGG
Molecule: ribosomal RNA, 393 nt
Filed under: uncultured bacterium
Lineage: Bacteria
Description: partial 16S ribosomal RNA
Rfam family: Bacterial small subunit ribosomal RNA
Source: RNAcentral